This is a long non-coding RNA of Lynx canadensis (Canada lynx), 172 nucleotides long. RefSeq lists it as uncharacterized. NCBI's taxonomy places the organism in Eukaryota, Metazoa, Chordata, Mammalia, Carnivora, Felidae. The transcript is spliced from 3 exons. The record is from RefSeq and is a predicted model, not a curated record.
UGUCCCAACAAAUGUGGUGUAUUGUUGCGGCUUCUGAGGUGGUGCGAUUCUUGCCUGCUGCACACGUACCCUUGUCGAAAGUCCACAGAUUGCGGAGUGCGCCAAAUCAACGUCCACGAAAAGGAAGACUUGAUCCUGAACUGUGGGCUCCACUGGCAUAAAAUUUCUACAG